This 491-nucleotide ribosomal RNA is filed under the name uncultured bacterium. RNAcentral's name for it is "partial 16S ribosomal RNA". It matches the Rfam family "Bacterial small subunit ribosomal RNA", at positions 27 to 507 of the family's 1533-position model. The record is from RNAcentral.
GAGUGAACGCUGGCGGUAGGCCUAACCCAUGCAAGUCGAACGGCAGCACAGGAGAGCUUGCUCUCUGGGUGGCGAGUGGCGGACGGGUGAGGAAUACAUCGGAAUCUGCCCAGUCGUGGGGGAUAACGUAGGGAAACUUACGCUAAUACCGCAUACGACCUUCGGGUGAAAGAGGGGGAUCGCAAGACCUCUCGCGAUUGGAUGAGCCGAUGUCGGAUUAGCUAGUUGGCGGGGUAAUGGCCCACCAAGGCGACGAUCCGUAGCUGGUCUGAGAGGAUGAUCAGCCACACUGGAACUGAGACACGGUCCAGACUCCUACGGGAGGCAGCAGUGGGGAAUAUUGGACAAUGGGCGCAAGCCUGAUCCAGCCAUACCGCGUGGGUGAAGAAGGCCUUCGGGUUGUAAAGCCCUUUUGUUGGGAAAGAAAUCUUUCAGGCUAAUACCCUGGGAGGAUGACGGUACCCAAAGAAUAAGCACCGGCUAACUUCGUG